This 75-nucleotide transfer RNA is filed under the name Micrococcus luteus. Its description in RNAcentral is "tRNA-Ala". It matches the Rfam family "tRNA". From Rfam's summary of the family: Transfer RNA (tRNA) molecules are approximately 80 nucleotides in length. Their secondary structure includes four short double-helical elements and three loops (D, anti-codon, and T loops). Further hydrogen bonds mediate the characteristic L-shaped molecular structure. tRNAs have two regions of fundamental functional importance: the anti-codon, which is responsible for specific mRNA codon recognition, and the 3' end, to which the tRNAs corresponding amino acid is attached (by aminoacyl-tRNA synthetases). tRNAs cope with the degeneracy of the genetic code in two manners: having more than one tRNA (with a specific anti-codon) for a particular amino acid; and 'wobble' base-pairing, i.e. permitting non-standard base-pairing at the 3rd anti-codon position. The record is from RNAcentral. Lineage: Bacteria; Bacillati; Actinomycetota; Actinomycetes; Micrococcales; Micrococcaceae.
GGACCUGUAGCUCAGCUGGAUAGAGCGCCCUUCUCGCAAAGGGGUGGUCGCGGGUUCGAAUCCCGCCAGGUAUUG